CGGUGGUGUUGGUGGUGGCUUCACGAUUGGUGGUGUUGGUGGUGGCUUCACGAUUGGUGGUGUUGGUAAUACUGGAGGAGGAGGGCAUGGUGUUUCAGGUUUUGGUGGCUUCACGACUGGUGGUUUUGGUGUCACUGGAGGCUUUGGUGGCUUCACGAUUGGUGGUUUAGGGUGAAAUGGCGGCUUUACUUUGGGAGGUUUUACUGGUGGCUUAGGGUGAGGUGGGGAAGGGCAAGAGGGACAGGCAAUUGAAGUAAGCAAAGCGCCCAAGCUCAAAAGAAGGAUCACGAGAUUAGCCACAGCAAACUUAGCCAU
Molecule: long non-coding RNA, 315 nt
Filed under: Populus trichocarpa (black cottonwood)
Lineage: Eukaryota; Viridiplantae; Streptophyta; Magnoliopsida; Malpighiales; Salicaceae
Description: long non-coding RNA (PTRI_LNC004675)
Source: RNAcentral